Long non-coding RNA from Mytilus californianus (California mussel), 922 nucleotides. RefSeq lists it as uncharacterized. The transcript has 4 exons. The record is from RefSeq and is a predicted model, not a curated record. Lineage: Eukaryota; Metazoa; Mollusca; Bivalvia; Mytilida; Mytilidae.
CUCCUAUCUAGGUAUCAAUAAACGUCAAAUAAUAGUUAUGCUCCUAUCUAGGUAUCAAUAAACGUCAAAUAAUAGUUAUGCUCCUAUCUAGGUAUCAAUAAACGUCAAAUAAUAGUUAUGCUCCUAUCUAGGUAUCAAUAAACGUCAAAUAAUAGUUAUGCUCCUAUCUAGGUAUCAAUAAACGUCAAAUAAUAGUUAUGCUCCUAUCUAGGUAUCAAUAAACGUCAAAUAAUAGUUAUGCUCCUAUCUAGGUAUCAUUAAAAAGAGACAUACGUAAAUGGGACAGCAGAUGCAUCUUUAAAAGUGCCAGUGAAAUCCUUUCUUUUGACAUCACCAGCCCCUUUAUGUAAUUAUCAAAUUAUUAAGACAACAACUACUAAUAAUACUUUAUACAAAUCCGGAAAUCUUGACUAUAUAUUUUUCAAAUUUCAUAUACACAUAAAGAUAAAAUUCCCAUUAAUGCUGGCAUAAAUGGUUACUUUUGAUUUAGCAUUGUCGUUAAAAUAAAGAUAGUUAUUGGGUGAUGUAUUCCUAACAAGUGAUAAUAUAUAGACAUGCACUUGAACCUGUUUGGUGUUCCUGCAAUUACGGUUGCUUUUUUAUACUCUCAUGUUUGUCUCUUUAUAUUUGUUCUGAUCCUGUUUCACAAUGUUUCAGCUGAUGUCGGUAAUUGCUAUCGUAUUUGAAAUAAUUUCUAAAAUUUCUAUUUUACUACAGUUCGUUUGAUCUAUAUAUGAAUAAAAGGAAAUAAGAAGUAUAUACGCGAAUGAGACGGCAACCUGACAACACAAAAACAAUGCAAACUACAUUUAGCGGGUGAAUAUACAGUAUGUAAAGACCUAAAUUACCCUGAGUCUGGUAAUGUAGUCAGUAGAUUUAACAGAGACUAUCAAAGAUCAGCCACCACCACCAAAUGAUGUAG